Molecule: long non-coding RNA, 504 nt
Filed under: Homo sapiens (human)
Lineage: Eukaryota; Metazoa; Chordata; Mammalia; Primates; Hominidae
Description: non-protein coding lnc-MYOT-7:1
Source: RNAcentral
GCUUGCCCCGGCGCCCCCGGCGUGCAGAGCCGGCCUACCACCCCCGCGCCUUCUCCCGCCCAGGGCUUUGCCGGGGAGAGAGCAGGGGGCGCGCUGGGGGCCAUUCCCAACGGAUGCGGUCUGGGGCGCCACGCGCGGGCUUUUUGAAAACUUGACUGUUGGGGUUGGGGGCCCGGAUCUACCCGCCGCCUCUCCGCUUGUCCGCUACACCUGGCGUCCCCGCCCCACCUCCCGCCCGCACAAAGAUGGAGGGCAGAGGCCUGGUCCACGAAGGCGGUUAUUAACCGUUUACAGUGGGCCCGACGUGCGGUUAAACUAAAACUUUGCCACGUGGCCCUGCGCAAAAGCGAGCCCGAGGCGGCGGUGUGAAAGACAACAGGGAACCAAAAGAACUUCAGACAUUAGGAACCAGACGAGGCGCGACAUCCCUGCCUCCCUGCCACCCUCCCGCCCUCCUUGAAGCCCUCCCACGAUGCCCUCUCAGAGGAGGCCCUUUCAGGUCCC